UGAGGAAUAUUGGUCAAUGGGCGAGAGCCUGAACCAGCCAAGUCGCGUGAAGGAAGACUGCCCGCAAGGGUUGUAAACUUCUUUUGUAUGGGAUUAAAGUCACCUACGUGUAGGUGUUUGCAGUUACCAUACGAAUAAGCAUCGGCUAACUCCGUGCCAGCAGCCGCGGUAAUACGGAGGAUGCGAGCGUUAUCCGGAAUUAUUGGGCGUAAAGGGUACGUAGGUGGUUUUUUAAGUCAGGUGUCAAAGCGUGGAGCUUAACUCCAUUAAGCACUUGAAACUGAAAGACUUGAGUGAAGGAGAGGAAAGUGGAAUUCCUAGUGUAGCGAUGAAAUGCGUAGAUAUUAGGAGGAAUACCGGUGGCGAAGGCGACUUACUGGGCUCAUUCUGACGCUGAGGAACGAAAGCGUGGGUAGCAAACAGG
This 424-nucleotide ribosomal RNA is filed under the name Verrucomicrobiota bacterium. Its description in RNAcentral is "Verrucomicrobia bacterium partial 16S ribosomal RNA". It matches the Rfam family "Bacterial small subunit ribosomal RNA", at positions 355 to 776 of the family's 1533-position model. Lineage: Bacteria; Pseudomonadati; Verrucomicrobiota. The record is from RNAcentral.